RNAcentral lists this long non-coding RNA (222 nucleotides) under Olea europaea (common olive). RNAcentral describes it as "long non-coding RNA (OEUR_LNC009655)". The record is from RNAcentral. Lineage: Eukaryota; Viridiplantae; Streptophyta; Magnoliopsida; Lamiales; Oleaceae.
UUCAAUUCUAACAAAGCAAAUUAUUUUAAACACGUUAAUCAUUAGUUUUAGAAGUUUUAAAAUAAACUAUAGGAUAACAAAUCUAAUUAACAAAUUGUUAUAUGAAAAAACUCAAGAUCAACACAAAGUACAAAUCUCAAACAAAUGACCAUAGCAUCAAGAUCUCAUAGAUUUUGGGCUCAGAUCCACCAUGUACCCAUCUGUACAAAGGUUGAAUCUCAC